AAAAGGAGCAAGCAGCAGGGAUGUGUGGCUUAGAUGAUGCUGGGAGAUUAAUAAGGGUAAAGACUGAAAGUGUCAGUUGUGAAAAUUCGGUAUAACUACAUGGCAUUACCACAAAUAGACUCAAUUACAAAACUUAAAUAUGGACACAAACUUUUCAGGAGGAUGUGUGAAUGCAGAUAAUUUUUUGGCUGAACAUGGUUCGUGAGUGUUAAAAGCAUCCUCUGGUGAUGGGGAACUGAAACUUGGUUGCCUUCCAAGAAGCUUCAGGAUAAAGCUCUGAAUCAACCACAUGCAGGGUGUUCCAGAGAUGAAAUGUACAAACCCACAGUCCCUGGCUCCUCCGUUCCUACAAUCUCCACCCAUAGAAGGCCAGGAAUGUAGAAAUGACCUGGGAAUUCCUAUAAUUUCUAGCAGUUGCUAAAAACAGAGAAGGUAAACACACACAUGUGGCUCACCAAUUCUUUUGGUAGCAUAAAAAAUGUAUGUAUUUCUUAAAUAAUAACCCAUCUCUCCCUCUUUCACAUACCCCAUUUCCACCUCUGGCAGCCUAAAAGUUCAUGCUCCAGUUCCUCUUUGCUAAAGAUAGAGUUGAAGGGUUGAAGUAUGACAAUGUCAGUUGUAGCAGCAUCCAACCAUUUUUUGCAAAAUUGUCAUAAUCCAAUAGUGACUUCAGCGUUGAUGGUUAUCAGUGAGGUAGUAUGGUGAUUUUCUGUUAUUUAAGGUAAUUCCAUCCAAGCAGAACAUAAACAUUAUGAAAAUUUAUAUUUUCAGCUAGAUCUAUUUUACAUGCAUUUGAAAGCUAGCUGUAUUUAAUCACUUUUUAUUACAUAAACUAAUGAUGUGGAUAAUGUUGUUGACUUUUUAUUCAUUUCUUAAUGGGUAGUUUCAGAGCUAAAAGGCAUACGUGUCCUCCUACAGUGCUGCUAAAGGAUAUGAUCAAAUUCAUAUAGGAAGAUGACAAAUCAUUCAUCAAGAACCUCGACCCUAACUUUCAGGGAAGAUAAAAUGGAGCUGAGAGUAUUUCUAGGAUGUCUUGCAAUUGCUCAAGAAAUAUUAACGUUAUCUUUCUGUUUCAUUGCUUAUAACUUAAAGAUAUACUAUGGGUAAAAGCUAGGCUGCCUUACUAUACUUCUUUUUUUCCAAGUGUAAUCAGCAACGUUUGACUUUCUGAGUGUGUGUUCUUGUCAAUCAGUGGCCCAUUAGCGAGCCCUUGGAAAGGCCAUAGCUUGGUAGGCCUCUCCAUUUGGGGGUUGUAGAAUCCCUCCACUUCUUUUU
Molecule: long non-coding RNA, 1275 nt
Filed under: Marmota monax (woodchuck)
Lineage: Eukaryota; Metazoa; Chordata; Mammalia; Rodentia; Sciuridae
Source: RNAcentral